This 226-nucleotide RNase P RNA is filed under the name Kiritimatiellia bacterium. Its description in RNAcentral is "Kiritimatiellae bacterium (activated sludge metagenome) partial RNase P RNA component class A". It matches the Rfam family "Bacterial RNase P class A", at positions 147 to 367 of the family's 367-position model. From Rfam's summary of the family: Ribonuclease P (RNase P) is a ubiquitous endoribonuclease, found in archaea, bacteria and eukarya as well as chloroplasts and mitochondria. Its best characterised activity is the generation of mature 5'-ends of tRNAs by cleaving the 5'-leader elements of precursor-tRNAs. The record is from RNAcentral. Lineage: Bacteria; Pseudomonadati; Kiritimatiellota; Kiritimatiellia.
GGUAAGGGUGAAACGGCGGUGUAAGAGACCACCGGGUGGAUCCGCAAGGGUCGCCGCAGGUAAACCCUAUCUGGAGCAAGAUCAAAUAGGAAGCGAGAGGCGGCCCGCCUCGUUGCCUUCGGGCUGAAAGCUUCGGGUUGAUCGCAUAGGCUGACAUCAGCGAGAUAAAUGAUCAUGGCCUCGCAGUUGCGGGGAACAGAAUUCGGCUUACAACCUCCCGAGCCAC